AUACGUAGGUGACAAGCGUUAUCCGGAUUUACUGGGCGUAAAGGGCGUGUAGGCGGUCUUGCAAGGCAGAAGUGAAAUUCCUGAGCUCAACUCGGGCGCUGCUUCUGAAACUGCAGGACUUGAGUGCUGGAGGGGAUAGCGGAAUUCCUAGUGGAGCGGUAAAAUGCGCAGAUAUUAGGAAGAACACCGGUGGCGAAGGCGGCUAUCUGGACAGUAACUGACGCUGAGGCGCGAAAGCACGGGGAGCAAACAGGAUUAGAUACCCUGGUAGUCCGUGCCGUAAACGAUGAAUACUAGGUGUAGGGGGUAUCGACUCCCUCUGUGCCGCAGUUAACACAUUAAGUAUUCCACCUGGGGAGUACGGCCGCAAGGUUGAAACUCAAAGGAAUUGGCGGGG
This 397-nucleotide ribosomal RNA is filed under the name uncultured bacterium. RNAcentral's name for it is "partial 16S ribosomal RNA". It matches the Rfam family "Bacterial small subunit ribosomal RNA", at positions 523 to 918 of the family's 1533-position model. The record is from RNAcentral.